Molecule: long non-coding RNA, 698 nt
Organism: Pectinophora gossypiella (pink bollworm)
Lineage: Eukaryota; Metazoa; Arthropoda; Insecta; Lepidoptera; Gelechiidae
Exons: 3
Source: RefSeq, a predicted model, not a curated record
ACAAUAACUAAAGCAUAGAAGGAAGGCUAAAAUAAGAAUUCAGAAACUAUAAACCGGCUCUCUUCUAGCUUACGACACAAACUAUGAGUGAGAAAAGGACAAAUGAUUCGCUCUUUGCUUCAUUUUUUCCGAGGUUGUCACAACAUGAAAUGUCAUUUGGACCUAUUGGACUCAUUUUAACUCGGCCAAAUACAUAGUAACAUACAUAAGAAGAUUUUACUUAUAUUUACCGAACUAUUUGACACGGUCGCGUCAACUGUGUUUACGAGUGUCUUGUGUUCAGAUUGUUUUAAGUGAUAAUUUAACAAUAUUUUUCCAAAUAAAUGGAAAGAAACUUUUAUUUAUAUCAAAUAAUUGAGUGUCUCGACUGUGUGACAUUAUGUCUUGUGUGGUAUGGGGCUGCAGCUCACAUUCAGGAAGAAAAGAAAAUAGCCAACAACUUCUGUCGUUUCAUCGAUAUUAAAUCCAAAAGUGUCGACUGGAUUUACAUGAAAAGUCAGUUCAAGAAGACGAGAUGAAAAAUUUAAAAGAAAAGCUGAACAAGUCCCGCCUCAAGAUCAAACGACUUAAUGAAAAAAAAAAACAAUGUGACAGGGUGUCACAAAGACAGUUUCUAAGCAAAUUGACACUGUUUAGAAAUUAAUAAAUUUGUAUUUAUUGUAAAUAUAAUGUACAUAAUUAAUAACGUGUGAAAUAAA